Molecule: non-coding RNA, 108 nt
Organism: Acanthosepion pharaonis
Lineage: Eukaryota; Metazoa; Mollusca; Cephalopoda; Sepiida; Sepiidae
Source: the annotation of a GenBank genome assembly
UUACGGCCACAUCACGCUGAAACACCGGUACGACCACAGAAGUUAAGCAACGUCGAGCCCGGUCAGUACCUAGUUGGGCAACCGCUUGGGAAUACCAAGUGACGUAAG